CGCCUGUUUUAUCAAAAACAUAGUUUAAGGAAAUAAUCUUAAAUGAAUUCUGCCCAGUGAUUUUUUUUUUAAAUGGCCGCAGUACCUUGACUGUGCUAAGGUAGCAUAAUCAAUUGGCUUCUAAUUAAAGUCUGGAAUGAAAGGAAAUAUGAAGUAAUUCUAUCUUAGAGGAUUUUUUUUGAAUUUAUUUAAAUGAUGAAAAUAUCAUUUUAUAGAAAAAAGACGAGAAGACCCUUAGAGUUUUGAUAUUUAUCAUAUUUUUGUUGGGGCGACAGGUAAACAUUAUAAACUUUACGAAUUAUUAUUGAUCGAUUUUUUAUAAGAAUAAUAAAACUACCUUAGGGAUAACAGCAUUAUAUUUAUUUAUGAUUGUGACCUCGAUGUUGGACUAGGAACUUUAUGGCUAGCCGUCAAAAAAGAUUUGUUCUGUUCGAACAAUUUUAUCCUACGUGAUCUGAGUUCCAAACCGG
Molecule: ribosomal RNA, 470 nt
Filed under: Biomphalaria kuhniana
Lineage: Eukaryota; Metazoa; Mollusca; Gastropoda; Planorbidae
Description: partial large subunit ribosomal RNA
Rfam family: Bacterial large subunit ribosomal RNA
Source: RNAcentral